GGUGAUAUAGCUCAGUUGGUAGAGUGCUCACCUCACAUGCACAAGGCCCUGGGUUCAAUCCCCAGCACCACCA
Non-coding RNA from Ictidomys tridecemlineatus (thirteen-lined ground squirrel), 73 nucleotides. The record is from Rfam. NCBI's taxonomy places the organism in Eukaryota, Metazoa, Chordata, Mammalia, Rodentia, Sciuridae.